This 215-nucleotide unclassified non-coding RNA is filed under the name uncultured fungus. RNAcentral's name for it is "partial contains 18S rRNA, ITS1, 5.8S rRNA, ITS2 and 28S rRNA". Lineage: Eukaryota; Fungi. The record is from RNAcentral.
AAGGAUCAUUAGUGAUUGUGAAUCGUUGCCUUCAGUGCUGGCUGGCUCCAGCAAGUGCACGUUGGUGACUUUCAUCCAAAUACCCUUGUGAACCUUUGGCCUCUUGCUGGCUUCGGCUGACAGAGGAUUUUACACCCCAACUCGAAUGUAAUGAAAACUACUGUCGUGCGCAAGCACUAAUGUACAACUUUCAACAACGGAUCUCUUGGCUCUCG